GGGAAUUUUCCGCAAUGGGCGAAAGCCUGACGGAGCAAUACCGCGUGAGGGAUGACGGCCUAUGGGUUGUAAACCUCUUUUUUCAGGGAGGAAUAAAUGACGUGUACCUGAAGAAUAAGCAUCGGCUAACUCCGUGCCAGCAGCCGCGGUAAGACGGAGGAUGCAAGUGUUAUCCGGAAUCACUGGGCGUAAAGCGUCUGUAGGUGGUUUGAUAAGUCAACUGUUAAAUCUUGAGGCUCAACCUCAAAAUGGCAGUCGAAACUAUUAGACUAGAGUAUAGUAGGGGUAAAGGGAAUUUCCAGUGGAGCGGUGAAAUGCGUAGAGAUUGGAAAGAACACCGAUGGCGAAGGCACUUUACUGGGCUAUUACUAACACUCAGAGACGAAAGCUAGGGUAGCAAAUGGGAUUAGAUACCCCAGUAGUCA
Molecule: ribosomal RNA, 425 nt
Filed under: uncultured cyanobacterium
Lineage: Bacteria; Bacillati; Cyanobacteriota
Description: bacterial SSU rRNA
Rfam family: Bacterial small subunit ribosomal RNA
Source: RNAcentral